UUCCUGUCCAGGUGCUUCGGCUAUAGUGCUGCAUUCGCCGGGCGUGGUCAUAUUGGCCAUCUUCACCUUUGUGAUGGCCGGCACUGUUCCGCUCAUCGGACUGGACGUACUGCGGAAGCGGUGCACGACUCACGAACAGUGCGCAAUUCUCGCGAUGCAUCCUGCGUGCCUGACAUUGGGACCGCGAAAACAAUCAAACGCAGCACAUAGCCGAGACAUCGUUUUGCGUCUUCAGCAAGCCUGUAACAGUAAGUAUGCUCUAAUAGGCUCAUGAGAGCGCGCAUUUCAAACGAUGCAUCCUGCGUGCGUGACAUUUGGGGCGGCGCAGAGAGCAGUCACAACACCUAGCAGAGAGCACGCCUGGUGCCUUUGGCAAACCUA
RNAcentral lists this long non-coding RNA (381 nucleotides) under Dermacentor andersoni. RNAcentral describes it as "uncharacterized LOC126529146". The record is from RNAcentral. Lineage: Eukaryota; Metazoa; Arthropoda; Arachnida; Ixodida; Ixodidae.